AUAUUGCAUGACACUGUUUUUGACAGCCUGUUGUUUUGCUUCAAUGACCCCACCAUUAAUUAUGCCUUCAAAUCAAGUCAACAAUUUAUCUAAUGCGUCUGUUUGUCCAAGACAUUGAAGAUUUUGAGUCACACAAUAUUUCAGUUACAGAGACCCUGAACCAAUUGGCAGCAUGUGUGGAUUUUUUCACAGGCUCUUCAGUCUAACCUUGACAUACAGGAAGACGUACAGGUAGCCCCUACACAGGUGGUUGAAAAGAAGCUUCACCGGCCUUCAAGGCCCACAAUGCUCUCCUCCUCAUUAUCCACUGGUGCCAGUGCGCCACACCCCUACUCCACACUCAUCCCUGGGGCUCUCUCAGCUAUCCUGCGUGCUACCCUGCCCCCUCACCUUACCUCUGACCCCAAGCCCAGGAGAGAGUCAGAUGCCCAGUGCCAACUGACCCUUGAGCAGCUGCGGACAGAGCUCCGGGACCUAAGGGAUGAGGUCAAACUGAU
This is a long non-coding RNA of Oncorhynchus masou masou (cherry salmon), 497 nucleotides long. RefSeq lists it as uncharacterized. The transcript has 3 exons. Lineage: Eukaryota; Metazoa; Chordata; Actinopteri; Salmoniformes; Salmonidae. The record is from RefSeq and is a predicted model, not a curated record.